RNAcentral lists this microRNA (22 nucleotides) under Columba livia (rock pigeon). Its description in RNAcentral is "cli-miR-9622-5p". Lineage: Eukaryota; Metazoa; Chordata; Aves; Columbiformes; Columbidae. The record is from miRBase by way of RNAcentral.
UGGGGGUUUCCCUGCCUGGGAC